CAGUCGCCGCGGGAAUACGUAGGUCCCGAGCGUUGUCCGGAUUUAUUGGGCGUAAAGCGAGCGCAGGCGGUUAGAUAAGUCUGAUGUGAAAGCCCCCGGCUCAACCGGGGAGGGUCAUUGGAAACUGGGAAACUUGAGUGCAGAAGAGGAGAGUGGAAUUCCACGUGUAGCGGUGAAAUGCGUAGAGAUGUGGAGAAACACCAGUGGCGAAGGCGACUCUCUGGUCUGUAACUGACGCUGAGGAGCGAAAGCGUGGGGAGCGAACAGGAUUAGAUACCCCAGUAGUCCCUGUCUCUUAUAC
This 301-nucleotide ribosomal RNA is filed under the name uncultured bacterium. Its description in RNAcentral is "partial 16S ribosomal RNA". It matches the Rfam family "Bacterial small subunit ribosomal RNA", at positions 509 to 807 of the family's 1533-position model. The record is from RNAcentral.